AUGGAGAUCGAAUCCAGCACGAAGUAUUGCAGAGUUAAGGGAGAACCAUCCGAGGAGGACCGGCUGAGUGGCCUCCCUGACGACAACCUCCACUCGAUCGUCGGUCGGGUCCCCCUCAAACAAGCCGUCCGCACCAGUGCCCUCUCCACGAUCCCGGGCCAUCCCUCAUCCUCGGCUGGCGGGAUGACGACUCCAACAGCACUGAGGGUCGGGGCGGAAGGAGUGCUUGGACAGUUUCUGAGCCUGGAGAGCUGCCACCUUCUCGUGUCGAUGAGGGUCACCGGCGAGAGGCUGCUGGGCCUGGAGAUCGUGCGAUGCCUGGCCAUGCGCCACCUGCAGGUGGCCGCGCCCGUGCUGGAGUCCGUCGUCUACCACGGCAACAUCCUCCUCAUCUGGAGAGAGGACGAGCCGUCCGGCGUGGAGUUCGUUGGCCCGAGCGGCAGGAUUGAUGCCAGGCCGGAGCUAAAGGACGCGUACGUGACCCACAUCGGCUACGGCGAAUACGACGAAGUAAUUCACGAGUUCGCCUACUCAGGCUUCUUGGAUCAGGUCGCGCAUGCCAAUCUUUUGACGCUUUGUUCCGUGGGCAUGCUGGGCGACAUGGAUGCCCCAAACCUGGAAGAGCUGCAACUGCUAAUGGACUCCAUCUCCAUGGGCGACGACGAUGUUACUCGCUUCUCCAGAUUCUUAGAGCUCGUCAUGGCGCCGCUCCUCGAGCGCCUCCUUAUCCGGUUCCCAGACGCGUGCGGCGGCACGGCGGUGACCGGCGAGGGCGCGGAUAUCAUUCUCGAGUGCGAGAUCGCUCUCGACCACCUGACGUUCCUCAAGGCGAGGAACUUCCGAGGGACGAUGCGCGAGCUGCGGCUGCUAAGGUUCGUCAUGCACAGGGCUCCUGUCCUCGAGCAGCUGGUGCUCGUCAGCCCGGAAGACAUGGGAACUCCGGGGGACCAUGACCAGCAGGAGAGCGUCUGGCCGCUACUUAAGGUCGUCCAAGAGCACGUGUCAGAGAUCAGCAAGGCUUGGCUCUGGCAGGAGCCCCACGUCACCGUGUGCCAGCCGAGGGAGGAUGACAGUCGGGCCCUGCACACACCAAGUACUACCACCAUGAUCAAGCAUAGUUCAACCAGAGCUAUUUUUUUUGCCAGGAACUAG
Molecule: ribosomal RNA, 1152 nt
Filed under: Triticum aestivum (bread wheat)
Lineage: Eukaryota; Viridiplantae; Streptophyta; Magnoliopsida; Poales; Poaceae
Description: partial small subunit ribosomal RNA
Source: RNAcentral